This 440-nucleotide non-coding RNA is filed under the name Gossypium arboreum. RNAcentral describes it as "Eukaryotic large subunit ribosomal RNA". It matches the Rfam family "Eukaryotic large subunit ribosomal RNA", at positions 445 to 953 of the family's 3401-position model. Lineage: Eukaryota; Viridiplantae; Streptophyta; Magnoliopsida; Malvales; Malvaceae. The record is from Rfam by way of RNAcentral.
GUCGGAAGUGGAACGGCGAGAGCCGGUCUGCCGAUCGGCUCGGGGCAUGGACCGACGCGGGUCGUGGCAGCGGCCCAAGCCCAGGCCUUUGAUACGCCUGUGGAGACGCCGACGCCUGGAUCAUGGGAUCCAGCACGCACCGUCUCGGCGUGCUUCGGCACCUGCGUGGUCCGGACGUCAGCCUACGGGCUCCCCAUUGGGCCCGUCUUAAAACACGGACCAAGGAGUCUGAAAUGUGUGCGAGUCAACGGGCUAGAAAACCCGUAAGACGUAAGGAAACUGAUUGGCAGGAUCCCUCACGGGUGCACCGCCGACUGACCUUGAUCUUUUGAGAAGGGUUCGAGUGAGAGCAUGCCUGUCGUGACCCUGUCGGCUCUUCCUAUCAUUGUGAAGCAGAAUUCACCAAGUGUUGGAUUGUUCACCCACCAAUAGGGAACGUG